Molecule: ribosomal RNA, 293 nt
Filed under: uncultured bacterium
Lineage: Bacteria
Description: partial 16S ribosomal RNA
Source: RNAcentral
GGACUACCGGGGUAUCUAAUCCUUUUUGCUCCCCACGCUUUCGUGUCUCAGGGUCAGGAAGGUCCCAGUGCACUGCCUUCGCCUUUGGUGUUCCCCACGAUAUCAACGGAUUUCACCCCUACACCGUGAGUUCCAUGCACCUCUAACCUCCUCUAGUCAUUGCCGUAUCUCCUCCAGGUCCACCGUUAGGCGGUGGGAUUUAAGAGAAGACGCGCAAAACCCCCUACACACGCUUUACGCCCAAUAAAUCCGGAUAACGCUUGAGGUCUACGUAUUACCGCGGCUGCUGGCAC